RNAcentral lists this ribosomal RNA (253 nucleotides) under uncultured bacterium. RNAcentral's name for it is "partial 16S ribosomal RNA". It matches the Rfam family "Bacterial small subunit ribosomal RNA", at positions 524 to 776 of the family's 1533-position model. The record is from RNAcentral.
UACGUAGGGUGCAAGCGUUAAUCGGAAUUACUGGGCGUAAAGCGUGCGCAGGCGGUUUUGUAAGUCUGACGUGAAAUCCCCGGGCUCAACCUGGGAAUUGCGUUGGAGACUGCAAGGCUAGAGUGUGUCAGAGGGGGGUAGAAUUCCACGUGUAGCAGUGAAAUGCGUAGAUAUGUGGAGGAAUACCGAUGGCGAAGGCAGCCCCCUGGGAUAACACUGACGCUCAUGCACGAAAGCGUGGGGAGCAAACAGG